RNAcentral lists this ribosomal RNA (807 nucleotides) under Ovadendron sulphureoochraceum. RNAcentral's name for it is "eukaryotic LSU rRNA". It matches the Rfam family "Eukaryotic large subunit ribosomal RNA", at positions 85 to 912 of the family's 3401-position model. Lineage: Eukaryota; Fungi; Ascomycota; Eurotiomycetes; Onygenales; Ajellomycetaceae. The record is from RNAcentral.
AACGGCGAGUGAAGCGGUAACAGCUCAAAUUUGAAAUCUGGCCUCACGGCCCGAGUUGUAAUUUGUAGAGGAUGCUUCGAGCAUGGUCCGGCCUAAGUUCCUUGGAACAGGACGUCAUAGAGGGUGAGAAUCCCGUAUGCGGCUGGGUGCCUACGCUCAUGUGAAGCUCCUUCGACGAGUCGAGUUGUUUGGGAAUGCAGCUCAAAAUGGGUGGUAAAUUUCAUCUAAAGCUAAAUAUUGGCCAGAGACCGAUAGCGCACAAGUAGAGUGAUCGAAAGAUGAAAAGCACUUUGGAAAGAGAGUUAAACAGUACGUGAAAUUGUUGAAAGGGAAGCGCUUGCAACCAGACUUGCGCGCGGCCGAUCAUCCGGUGUUCUCACCGGUGCACUCGGCCGUGCUCAGGCCAGCAUCGGUUUUGGCGGCUGGAUAAAGGCCCUAGGAAUGUGGCUCCUCUCGGGGAGUGUUAUAGCCUAGGGUGCAAUGCAGCCUGCUGGGACCGAGGACCGCGCUUCGGCUAGGAUGCUGGCGUAAUGGUUGUAAGCGGCCCGUCUUGAAACACGGACCAAGGAGUCUAACAUCUAUGCGAGUGUUUGGGUGUCAAACCCAUACGCGUAAUGAAAGUGAACGGAGGUGAGAACCCUUAAGGGGUGCAUCAUCGACCGAUCCUGAUGUCCUCGGAAGGAUUUGAGUAAGAGCAUAGCUGUUGGGACCCGAAAGAUGGUGAACUAUGCCUGAAUAGGGUGAAGCCAGAGGAAACUCUGGUGGAGGCUCGCAGCGGUUCUGACGUGCAAAUCGAUCGUCAAAUUU